RNAcentral lists this ribosomal RNA (253 nucleotides) under uncultured bacterium. Its description in RNAcentral is "partial 16S ribosomal RNA". It matches the Rfam family "Bacterial small subunit ribosomal RNA", at positions 524 to 776 of the family's 1533-position model. The record is from RNAcentral.
UACGUAGGUGGCAAGCGUUGUCCGGAAUUAUUGGGCGUAAAGCGCGCGCAGGCGGUCCUUUAAGUCUGAUGUGAAAGCCCACGGCUCAACCUUGGAGGGUCAUUGGAAACUGGGGGACUUGAGUACAGAAGAGGAAAGCGGAAUUCCACGUGUAGCGGUGAAAUGCGUAGAGAUGUGGAGGAACACCAGUGGCGAAGGCGGCUUUCUGGUCUGUAACUGACGCUGAGGCGCGAAAGCGUGGGGAGCAAACAGG